This 497-nucleotide ribosomal RNA is filed under the name uncultured bacterium. RNAcentral describes it as "partial 16S ribosomal RNA". It matches the Rfam family "Bacterial small subunit ribosomal RNA", at positions 28 to 507 of the family's 1533-position model. The record is from RNAcentral.
GAUGAACGCUGGCGGCGUGCCUAAUACAUGCAAGUCGAGCGAACAGACGAGGAGCUUGCUCCUCUGACGUUAGCGGCGGACGGGUGAGUAACACGUGGAUAACCUACCUAUAAGACUGGGAUAACUUCGGGAAACCGGAGCUAAUACCGGAUAAUAUAUUGAACCGCAUGGUUCAAUAGUGAAAGACGGUUUUGCUGUCACUUAUAGAUGGAUCCGCGCCGCAUUAGCUAGUUGGUAAGGUAACGGCUUACCAAGGCAACGAUGCGUAGCCGACCUGAGAGGGUGAUCGGCACCCUUGGAAGUGAGACACGGUCAAGACUCCUAGGGGAGGCAGCAGUAGGGAAUCUUCCGAAAUGGGCGAAAGCCGGACGGAGCAACGCCGCGUGAGUGAUGAAGGUCUUCGGAUCGUAAAACUUUGUUAUUAGGGAAGAACAAAUGUGUAAGUAACUAUGCACGUCUUGACGGUACCUAAUCAGAAAGCCACGGCUAACUACGUG